Molecule: ribosomal RNA, 497 nt
Filed under: uncultured bacterium
Lineage: Bacteria
Description: partial 16S ribosomal RNA
Rfam family: Bacterial small subunit ribosomal RNA
Source: RNAcentral
GAUGAACGCUGGCGGCGUGCCUAAUACAUGCAAGUCGAGCGAUCGGGCUAGAAGCUUGCUUCUCUUAUAUUAGCGGCGGACGGGUGAGUAACGCGUGGGUAACCUGCCUUUGAGCCUGGGAUAACUUCUGGAAACCGUAGCUAAUACCGCAUAAUAUUUUGAAACACAUGGUUCAAGAGUGAAAGACGGUCUUGCUUUCACUUAUAGAUAGAUCCGCGCUGCAUAAGCUAGUGGUUAAGGUAACGCCUUACCAAGCCAAGGAUGCAUACCCACCUGGAGAGGGUGUUCGCCCCAACGGGAACGGAGAACCGGCCAAGAUCCCUAGGGGAGCCAGCAGUAGGAAUCUUUGCGAAAGGGGCGAAGUCUUGACGGACAAAGCCCGCGUGGGGAAUGAGGUUCUUGGGUCGUAAAACCCUGUUUAUUAGGGAAGACCAUAUGUGUAAUUAACUGCGCACCUAGUGACGGUACCUAAUCAGAAAGCCACGGCUAACUACGUG